Non-coding RNA from Lactarius deliciosus, 86 nucleotides. NCBI's taxonomy places the organism in Eukaryota, Fungi, Basidiomycota, Agaricomycetes, Russulales, Russulaceae. The record is from the annotation of a GenBank genome assembly.
UCGGAUAUGGUGUAACGGUUAACAUUACCGCCUCUCAGGGUGUGUCCAGAUCGCGGUAGCUCGGGGUUCGAUUCCCCGUAUCCGAA